This 1604-nucleotide long non-coding RNA is filed under the name Homo sapiens (human). RNAcentral's name for it is "long independently transcribed non-coding RNA 2874, transcript variant 3 (LINC02874)". The record is from RNAcentral. Lineage: Eukaryota; Metazoa; Chordata; Mammalia; Primates; Hominidae.
AGGCUGGACCCAGCCAGCCUCAAGGAGGGAAGAGAGGGACAUCAUGGUGGCGCUGGACUCCCUGCAGGGCUCAGCGGCUCCCUCAGGACAAGGAGAAAGCUGGGAACCCUAAGACAGAACUGGAGGUUCUCGUUGCCUAAAUCUCUCCUGGCUUGCUGCACAUGGAACCCAUUUCUUCCCAUUCAGGGCUCUGCAGAGGCAGAAGAUGAACAGUAAGAUGCAAAGAUCUGGCAACCUUCAGAGCUGGAUGUUCUCACAGAGCUACACAUGCCACAGUCAUCACUAGUUGCGAGAGUCUCCAGUGUUCAUUAAGCCUAUUUUGCUGGAAGUUUAGUCCCUGGAGGAUUAGUCCCUGCCCUUAAGGAGUGCCAAAGAAGACUUUGGAAUCUAAGUCACAUCUCCCCUGCUGCAAUUUUUUCCUCUUGAUAAUCAAGGAAUCUCACUGAUAAAACUCUCAAUGAGGAGCAGCUCUCCCCAUGAGCAAGUUCUUGCCUUCAUUGCCAGGGAGGCCCCAGCUAAGGUUAUACUGGGAAAGGAAUCUCUGGGGAGUACCUGGAAGAGGUCAGCUUCUCCUCAAAGGAAGCCUCUCCAGCUGGUGUACUGCAAAGCCUUCCAAGACCAAGUUCCCUCUUCCUGGCCUCUGGAACCAGCCUGUGUGCCAGCGCUGUGUCCCCAGUAACACACAUGAGUCUCUCCCUCAGAAGCCACAGAAGGAUGCAGAGAGAGACCAACCCAGGAUUGAUUCUCAGCACUUACUAAUUGUGUGGACAUAACUGCUCUGGACCUCAGCUUUGCUAUCUAUAAAAUGAGCACCCUUUUUAUAGAUAUGAACACUUUAAGAGAGUCAUAAAGAUUGAAGUUGAUUUGUGCUGCGCCUGGCACAGAGGUCUCCCUCAGUAAAUGGCAGCCACUGCUAUUGGGGUGCCCCAACACCCCUUGCCCCUGCCCACCAUUAGCUUUCACUUAGGCCCACACUGAGGGUGUGGCUGUUGUGUUGGGGGAAGGAAAAAAACCAUGCCUGGGUUGCAGGGCCCCCACCACCAACUGGUCUGCUUUUGUGGGAAGCAUUUUCUGAUGCCCUCGCCCUACCCGUGGGCUGGUUGACUAAGUGUCCAGCAUCAUGAGGAAAAGAGCAGGGUUCAGGGACAGCUUGGCUCAGCCCUGAAACUCAUCUGGGCCUAGGUCCAGAUGAGAGGCAAGCCUGGGAGGCCUUCCGUUGUACCCUUGCCUAUCCUGCAGCACCCUCUAGCCUGCAGGCCGCUCCUGGGUGGCAUAGCACCUUGGAUGUCAGGUGUGGGCCUUCCCAGGCACAUGGCAUGAGGGGGCACUUCUGUGGGUUGUUGGGGGCAGGAAGGGAUGUGUCUCCAGCUGGACUUGGGCUCUCGCAUUUUGGGGCCCAGCCAUGCCAGGACAGCACACAUGGGCGCUUAGUGCGAAUCUCAUGAUGGAGCAGAGGAGGAGCAAAGCAAAACCAGGGAGUCCCCAGGCCCCUGCUUCUGCCCCGCCCAGAGACAGUGGAGCAGGUGUCUCCAGCUUCUUAACCUCAACGCACAGUAAGAAAUACAUUUUACAGCAACCAAUAGACACAUACAUUUACAAAACGA